AAGUGAUGACAUUUUGGACAGACAUGGAUGUAAACUACAACUUGACUGGUUGGCGGAGGCAUACAACCUUUGAGGCGAUAAUUCUAGUUUUUUUUGGUGU
Molecule: long non-coding RNA, 100 nt
Organism: Sebastes umbrosus (honeycomb rockfish)
Lineage: Eukaryota; Metazoa; Chordata; Actinopteri; Perciformes; Sebastidae
Exons: 3
Source: RefSeq, a predicted model, not a curated record